This 160-nucleotide ribosomal RNA is filed under the name uncultured bacterium. RNAcentral describes it as "partial 16S ribosomal RNA". It matches the Rfam family "Bacterial small subunit ribosomal RNA", at positions 355 to 507 of the family's 1533-position model. The record is from RNAcentral.
UAAGGAAUCUUCCGCAAUGGACGAAAGUCUGACGGAGCAACGCCGCGUGAGCGAAGAAGGCCUUCGGGUCGUAAAGCUCUGUUGUUAUGGAAGAACAAGUACGAGAGUAACUGCUCGUACCUUGACGGUACCUAACCAGAAAGCCACGGCUAACUACGUG